UCUCCGUUGGUGAACCAGCGGAGGGAUCAUUACAGAGUUGCAAAACUCCCAAACCAUUAUGUGUAUUUACCUGUUUCGUUGCUUCGGCAGGCGGCCCCUGGGAGGGGCCCCUGGGCCUCGCGAGAGGUGCCUGCCGGAGGUUCCAAAACUCAAUGUUAGCAAAUGUUCUGUCUGAGUAAACUUAUAUAAUAAGUCAAAACUUUCAACAACGGAUCUCUUGGUUCUGGCAUCGAUGAAGAACGCAGCGAAAUGCGAUAAGUAAUGUGAAUUGCAGAAUUCAGUGAAUCAUCGAAUCUUUGAACGCACAUUGCGCCUGCUAGUAUUCUAGCAGGCAUGCCUGUUCGAGCGUCAUUUCAACCCUCAAGCCCAGCUUGGUGUUGGGGCGUCUGCGGCUCCGGCCGCAGGCCCUGAAAUACAGUGGCGGGCUCGCUAUAACUCCGAGCGUAGUAAUAUCUCUCGCUUUGGAAGUGUGGCGGGUUUCCAGCCGUAAAAACCCCAAACUCUGAAAUGUUGACCUCGGAUCAGGUAGGAAUACCCGCUGAACUUAA
This 548-nucleotide ribosomal RNA is filed under the name Ascomycota sp. DBF11KW2b. RNAcentral describes it as "eukaryotic LSU rRNA". The stretch from base 198 to 351 matches the Rfam family "5.8S ribosomal RNA". The record is from RNAcentral. Lineage: Eukaryota; Fungi; Ascomycota.